GCAGGUCGAACGAAGUACCAAUACUUAGUGGCAGACGGGUGAGUAACAUGUGGGUAUCUACCCUUUGGCCUGGAAUAACACGAGGAAACUUGUGCUAAUACCGGAUAAGUCUUUACGGAGAAAGCUUUAUGCACCAUUGGAUGAGCCCGCACUUGAUUAGUUUGUUGGUAGGGUAAUGGCCUACCAAGACUAUGAUCAAUAGCUGAUUUGAGAGGAUGAUCAGCCACAUUGGGACUGAGACACGGCCCAAACUCCUACGGGAGGCAGCAGUGGGGAAUCUUGCACAAUGGAGGAAACUCUGAUGCAGCGAUGCCGCGUGAGUGAAGAAGGCCUUUGGGUUGUAAAGCUCUUUCGUCGGGGAAGAAAAUGACUGUACCCGAAUAAGAAGGUCCGGCUAACUUCGUGCCAGCAGCCGCGGUAAUACGAAGGGACCUAGCGUAGUUCGGAAUUACUGGGCUUAAAGAGUUCGUAGGUGGUUGAAAAAGUUGGUGGUGAAAUCCCAGAGCUUAACUCUGGAACUGCCAUCAAAACUUUUCAGCUAGAGUAUGAUAGAGGAAAGCAGAAUUUCUAGUGUAGAGGUGAAAUUCGUAGAUAUUAGAAAGAAUACCAAUUGCGAAGGCAGCUUUCUGGAUCAUUACUGACACUGAGGAACGAAAGCAUGGGU
RNAcentral lists this ribosomal RNA (664 nucleotides) under uncultured Alphaproteobacteria bacterium. RNAcentral describes it as "bacterial SSU rRNA". It matches the Rfam family "Bacterial small subunit ribosomal RNA", at positions 57 to 766 of the family's 1533-position model. The record is from RNAcentral. Lineage: Bacteria; Pseudomonadati; Pseudomonadota; Alphaproteobacteria.